AAUAAGAAAAAGUGUUAAAUCAAGAAAUUACUACUCUCUCUUUAGUAUGCUUGAAAUUGGUUUUUUUUCCAUAUUUUUAAGCUAAGUUCAAUUUUUAUUAAUAAAGGUUAUUUCAGUGAAUCUCAAUUAUUACCAGAAAACAUUAAGGAUUCCCUUGAAAGCACAUUCACUUUUAAAGUUGAAAAGAAAUUAAUCUGAAAGACUGACACUUUGAAAGUUGUUCAAUAUUAAAUCAAGAUGCCAUCAAAAAUUACUAUACGUUUCUUCUUGGUGAAGUCUGCAUGCAAUUAUUGACCUUUCAUUUUAAUAAUUGUGUCAGUGUUCUGUUGAAAAGAGAAACAUUGCCCCGAAAGUGAUAUUGCUUUGAACUGUGAUACUUUAAAUUGGUUAAGAAAUGAGAAUUUUUUUAUUUGGUGCAUUUGAAUAAACUUAAC
This 434-nucleotide long non-coding RNA is filed under the name Mytilus galloprovincialis (Mediterranean mussel). Lineage: Eukaryota; Metazoa; Mollusca; Bivalvia; Mytilida; Mytilidae. The record is from RNAcentral.